RNAcentral lists this long non-coding RNA (245 nucleotides) under Homo sapiens (human). RNAcentral's name for it is "HSALNT0233839". The record is from RNAcentral. Lineage: Eukaryota; Metazoa; Chordata; Mammalia; Primates; Hominidae.
UUCAGAGUUUGGUCCAGAUGAAGUUUCUUUCACCUUGCGAACCUUUAGAACGCUGGGCUGCAUCAUGUGUGUUGUAACUUUAAAGUUAGAAUAGCCUAGCUUCGUUACAGUUUUUGAGCCAAAGGACCCAUUAACAGAAACAAAACUUUUUUUCCUGCAAACAAAUACAAGCUGGCCACACUGGUAAAUACCAGUGAAAUAUAUUUUGGGACUGACACUUGCAUUUUCUAUUGGUACUUAUGUCA